AUUAUUAAUUAUUAAUUUUAUUAGAAAAAUAAAUUUAUGAAUUAAUUUUGUAAAAUUAAUAAAAUUUUAAGUUUAAUUAAAGAAUUAAAAUUUAAAAUUAAAUUCAAAAUGGAAAUUUGGGAAAACCACAAAGUGGGAUUUUACCACUCAAUUUAAAAGCACCUUAAUCACAAUAAUCCACUAAUUCCACAAAGUAGGUGGUGUCUUCCUAGGAUGAAGACUUCAAAGCAUGGGCUAAUAGUUUUAAAAACAAAAGAGAUUCAGUUGAAAAGGACAUGCAAUUGCUGAAUUGCUGAGUUUUUAAAAGUUAAAGAAGUUGUUCUUGAACAAGCUGAAAAAUCGGAAAACCUUUUCUCCAAAUGCCCUAUGUUCAAGCUUGUUUUGAGUCCUACAACUUAAUCUAAGGCUCCUAGAGAAUAGUAGGGAAGCUCUAGUGGUGGUCCACAGCCUGAAUCGAAGAAGAUUGUAGCUGUAUUUCGUUGAAGAAUAGGAUCUUCAAAGUUUCAUUAAAUCCAAGCUCCAUUCAAGAUCGAGGUUGAACUCUUAUCAGGCAACAACUCCAUUUUGAUUAAAUUCAACUUAAUCCAAGCUUAUGGUUGAAGUCUACCUCAAUUCUAGUUUCACCAAAUUUGACUUGUUUUCAUAUUGGUUUCAAAAUUUGGUGAAGUAUGCAACUGGAGAUUGAAGCUUGCGCCAAACUAGGUUCAAUGAACCAAACCUUAUCCAAGAUUGGGAUAGAAAUCUCAUACAAUUGUUUCUAGUUGAAGCAUAUGCAAAGUCCAGGUCUAUCUUUUUCAAUACCAAAUCUUCACAUUGGUUUCAAAUUUGGAUUAAAUUCAACGUCAUCCAUGAUUAUGGUAGAAGCUUGCACCAAGCCAAGGUCUAUACAAAACCUUAUCCAAGAUUUAGGUUGAAUUCUUGCCUAGCAAGAUCUUUUCUAUUUUGGUAAAAUUCAACACAUUACAAGAUUGAGGUUUGAACUCUUGUAAAACAUGGACAGUUUCAAAAUUUUUCUAGAUUUUACAUCCGCCAUCUAGAUUAUUACUUUGGAUGACAAGGUACUUGGCAUAACUUAGUUAUUAUUAUCACAGGUAA
Benincasa hispida (wax gourd) is the source of this 1095-nucleotide non-coding RNA. Lineage: Eukaryota; Viridiplantae; Streptophyta; Magnoliopsida; Cucurbitales; Cucurbitaceae. The record is from RefSeq and is a predicted model, not a curated record.